RNAcentral lists this unclassified non-coding RNA (421 nucleotides) under Hevea brasiliensis (rubber tree). The record is from RNAcentral. Lineage: Eukaryota; Viridiplantae; Streptophyta; Magnoliopsida; Malpighiales; Euphorbiaceae.
AAGCUACAGCAAGCUCAGCUGAGGUAGUAUUUUUUUAAUUUGCCAUUUGGGAAAUUCUUUCCUACUUUUUAGGUCAAAGCCUAAAAGAUUGUGUAGGAUGGGAAACAUUGCAUUUGUUAUUAAGGCAGUAUUUCAUUACUGUCUUUAUUGUAUUAAUGAGUGUUUUUAAUGGAUGAAUAUUGCUAAGAAUUGAUCUCUAUUAGCUUUCAUAAGUAUGUGCCUGUGGCUGUUCAUCAUUUCAUAGUUAUUUAUUCUUCAUAUAUAUGAUCUAUUACCUUCUUCUGGUUAACGUUUUGCUUAUGCAACAAUAUGUAUGGAAUUUCCUUGGUACUUAUUGGCGUGUACAAUUUUUUUUCUCUAUCUAAAUAAAAACAUAGAUAUUCAUUACUAACUAAGCUUUGCAAUCCUUUCUUUGACUCAA